GGGGUUGUGGCUCAGUGGUAGAGCACUCACCUAGCAUGUGAGAGGACCUGAGUUCAAUCCUCAGCAUCACAU
Ictidomys tridecemlineatus (thirteen-lined ground squirrel) is the source of this 72-nucleotide non-coding RNA. Lineage: Eukaryota; Metazoa; Chordata; Mammalia; Rodentia; Sciuridae. The record is from Rfam.